RNAcentral lists this non-coding RNA (125 nucleotides) under Aurantiochytrium limacinum. The record is from RNAcentral. Lineage: Eukaryota; Bigyra; Thraustochytrida; Thraustochytriidae.
GUCAUCCUCCCGUCUUUCAAGCAGUGUUGAUAUAUAUUCUUUUGGGAUGACAGUCUGGCAGCUUCUGCAUAGUGAUGAUCCCUUUCCGAAUCACUGGACGCUUCCAGUAACAAUUGAUGCCAUUC